CAAUAGCGUAUAUUAAAGUUGUUGCAGUUAAAAAGCUCGUAGUUGGAUUUGUGGCGUACGGUGGGUUCCGGGCACUUGUUGUCUGAGUAACUUGCUGUUGCCAUCCUUGGGUGGAACCUGUGUGGCAUUAGGUUGUCGUGCAGGGGAUGCCCAUCAUUUACUGUGAAAAAAUUAGAGUGUUCAAAGCAGGCUUAUGCCGUUGAAUAUAUUAGCAUGGAAUAAUGAGAUAGGACUUUUUUGCUAUUUUGUUGAUUUGCGCAAAGAGGUAAUGAUUAAUAGGGACAGUUGGGGGUAUUCGUAUUCCAUUGUCAGAGGUGAAAUUCUUGGAUUUUUGGAAGACGAACUACUGCGAAAGCAUUUACCAAGGAUGUUUUCAUUAA
Molecule: ribosomal RNA, 380 nt
Filed under: uncultured eukaryote
Lineage: Eukaryota
Description: partial 18S ribosomal RNA
Rfam family: Eukaryotic small subunit ribosomal RNA
Source: RNAcentral